Hippocampus comes (tiger tail seahorse) is the source of this 797-nucleotide long non-coding RNA. RefSeq lists it as uncharacterized. The record is from RefSeq and is a predicted model, not a curated record. NCBI's taxonomy places the organism in Eukaryota, Metazoa, Chordata, Actinopteri, Syngnathiformes, Syngnathidae. The transcript has 2 exons.
UGUUGACGUCAUUCUUAAAGGGCCAGUCGCAUUUGCUUUCGAGUUCUUUUUCCCCGUCGGCCACCCAAAGUACGUGGACGUCCAACUAAAAACUUGAGACGAGUGACAAUAAUUUUGGAUGUUGUGGCUUCCGGCCCCAUUUAAUUUUGAAAACGUUUCGAAAGGUCACUUUUGACGGUCCCCGCCGCCUCGACCAAUAAAAAAACGCGCGCGAUCAAAAACGACGGCCGAUUUGAAUCACCUGCCUCGUCUCGUAUUCGUUGCGUGCCGAGUCAAAAACGCUUCGAGGUCUCCGGAACCCACGAUGUCCGAGGCGAAUGGUGCUCGCGCGCCCGUCGCGGAAAGGGUCAGUGGGGAGAAAUCGCAAGCGGGCCGAGUCGUUUUCAGGCUAAACAUUUCGCGCGCCGUUUCGUCGAAGGUGCGGCGGGAUGUCGACGAGAGGAUCCGGACGGCGUCGGAGCAAAUCGCCUUGUGCAAUCAAAUCCUGCAGGACUUGAAAGAGCUCGACCGCGUUCUCGUGACGAGAUCUCUGCCGGACGAGACCUUGCCGCCACAAAAACCACCACCCGCUUCUCGCUAAAAUGAGACAACAACGGCGCUCUCCCCAGGCAAUGCGUUUUUAUUAGUACAGUGCUCUUAGUUGAGAAAGUUGUGAUAUCGAGCAUAUGCAAACAUCCAACCUAGACACACACACACACAUUCUCGCAGGCCGGGUGGCGGCGAGACAUCCCCCUUCGGAAGCACGCGCCGUAGCGAUUUCCUCCUGGACCGAUUCGAUGCAAUUGUCAAAUGAAUGA